This 497-nucleotide ribosomal RNA is filed under the name uncultured bacterium. RNAcentral's name for it is "partial 16S ribosomal RNA". It matches the Rfam family "Bacterial small subunit ribosomal RNA", at positions 28 to 507 of the family's 1533-position model. The record is from RNAcentral.
GACGAACGCUGGCGGCGUGCCUAAUACAUGCAAGUCGAACGCUGAAGCUUGGUGCUUGCACCGAGCGGAUGAGUUGCGAACGGGUGAGUAACGCGUAGGUAACCUGCCUGGUAGCGGGGGAUAACUAUUGGAAACGAUAGCUAAUACCGCAUAAUAGUAGAUGUUGCAUGACAUUUGCUUAAAAGGUGCAAUUGCAUCACUACCAGAUGGACCUGCGUUGUAUUAGCUAGUUGGUGAGGUAACGGCUCACCAAGGCAACGAUACAUAGCCGACCUGAGAGGGUGAUCGGCCACACUGGGACUGAGACACGGCCCAGACUCCUACGGGAGGCAGCAGUAGGGAAUCUUCGGCAAUGGACGGAAGUCUGACCGAGCAACGCCGCGUGAGUGAAGAAGGUUUUCGGAUCGUAAAGCUCUGUUGUAAGAGAAGAACGAGUGUGAGAGUGGAAAGUUCACACUGUGACGGUAGCUUAACAGAAAGGGACGGCUAACUACGUG